CGACUCUCGACAACGGAUAUCUCGGCUCUCGCAUCGAUGAAGAACGUAGCGAAAUGCGAUACUUGGUGUGAAUUGCAGAAUCCCGUGAACCAUCGAGUCUUUGAACGCAAGUUGCGCCCGAAGCCAACAGGCCGAGGGCACGUCUGCCUGGGUGUCACACAAUCGCUUGCCC
This 172-nucleotide ribosomal RNA is filed under the name Deverra aphylla. Its description in RNAcentral is "5.8S ribosomal RNA". It matches the Rfam family "5.8S ribosomal RNA". Rfam says of the family: 5.8S ribosomal RNA (5.8S rRNA) is a component of the large subunit of the eukaryotic ribosome. Lineage: Eukaryota; Viridiplantae; Streptophyta; Magnoliopsida; Apiales; Apiaceae. The record is from RNAcentral.